CCGGCAUGUCUAUUGGAACCUAAGCGAAAACGUCCGCAUUCUUUCGUAGGAAAUCAAUUAGCUGCGUCCACACCUCUUCCCCAAGGUUGGAGCCGAUCUUUACCAUAUGCUCCGUAUUCCCAUUGUUCAAAGGGAUCGAAACCAGAUCUUCGAUUGGGCCGCCCCUUUCCUCAGCGAGAUCGUCGCGGGCGUCCAAUCCAUCAACCGGACAGAGGUCAGAUUGGUCACUUCUUUGCAAGGCUAUGUUGUAGCAGUGUCUGGCCAGGGCUUGGUCUCCC
RNAcentral lists this long non-coding RNA (278 nucleotides) under Elaeis guineensis (African oil palm). Its description in RNAcentral is "long non-coding RNA (EGUI_LNC019610)". Lineage: Eukaryota; Viridiplantae; Streptophyta; Magnoliopsida; Arecales; Arecaceae. The record is from RNAcentral.